This 73-nucleotide transfer RNA is filed under the name Spirochaetia bacterium. Its description in RNAcentral is "tRNA-Thr". It matches the Rfam family "tRNA". Rfam says of the family: Transfer RNA (tRNA) molecules are approximately 80 nucleotides in length. Their secondary structure includes four short double-helical elements and three loops (D, anti-codon, and T loops). Lineage: Bacteria; Pseudomonadati; Spirochaetota; Spirochaetia. The record is from RNAcentral.
GCCAAUGUGGCUCAGCUGGUAGAGCAGCUCACUCGUAAUGAGCAGGUCACCGGUUCGAAUCCGGUCAUUGGCU